This 301-nucleotide small nuclear RNA is filed under the name Erinaceus europaeus (western European hedgehog). Its description in RNAcentral is "7SK RNA (ENSEEUG00000020375.1)". The stretch from base 1 to 244 matches the Rfam family "7SK RNA". Rfam says of the family: 7SK was discovered as an abundant small nuclear RNA in the mid-70s but a possible function has only recently been suggested. Two independent studies have found that 7SK RNA binds the CDK9/cyclin T complex (known as elongation factor P-TEFb). The record is from RNAcentral. Lineage: Eukaryota; Metazoa; Chordata; Mammalia; Eulipotyphla; Erinaceidae.
AGAUGUGGGGGGGGCGAUCUGGCUGUGACAUCCUUCACCCCAGUGAUCGCCAAUGUUGAUUUGGCUGAUCAGGCUGGCUAGGCGGGUGUCCGCUUCCUCUCUCACCAUCUAUGUGUGCCAUCUCGCAGUUGCAACUCGGUGGAAAAGGACGAUCGUCCAACAGAGACCAAAAAACUUUUCCGUCUAAGGAAUUAUGAUAAGUGUAACCUUCCAAACAAACUCUAAACCCGGGAUCCCAGUUCCCAGAGCCAGACGCCUCACCGGCGGGAAGCAGAGGUAACUUACAUUUGGAUCGAUCUUU